UUGAUUUUAAAGCAAUCACCAUAACCCAUUCUAUUUUUGAAUAGUGUUAUUGUGUUUAGGUGAAGCUAAACACAUUGGGGAAAGUGAGGUCUAGUUCUCUGUAGGUAUAGCAACAUGAAAUCACCAGCAGUAAAGUAAUGGGGUCUUUGCUCUCAUGUGACCAUCAAGACAAAAUUCAUAGCUUUUGUUGUGGCAAUUCAGAUGUUUAAUACUUGAGUCUGAGUGCAAAUUUGCAUCAUGAGUUAGACUAUCAACUACUUUGGUUACUAUGAUUGAAAAGUUGAACUUAGUUAUAAGGAGCUUGUUAAGGAAAAUGAUGAAGAAAAAGAAAGGCUAAAUGGAAUUAUUGCCGGAUUGUUGACUGAAAAAGAAAAAAGAUAAGGUGGAUAAAGAUGCUAUGCUCGAUACAAUGUCACAAAUUGAAGCUAUGUUAACAAGUACAAUUUGAAGAUAGGCUACAAACACUUGGUUUUGAAUGUUUCAAUGUUUAUCAUAUUAGGAUUUUUUAGUUAUUUGAUGUUUUAGCUGGUACUUAUAUUAGAAUGUUUUAUACGCUUUUGAUACACAUAUGUUUUAUAUAAUUUUGGGUUUUCGUGA
Long non-coding RNA from Helianthus annuus (common sunflower), 597 nucleotides. RefSeq lists it as uncharacterized. The transcript is spliced from 3 exons. NCBI's taxonomy places the organism in Eukaryota, Viridiplantae, Streptophyta, Magnoliopsida, Asterales, Asteraceae. The record is from RefSeq and is a predicted model, not a curated record.